GACGAACGCUGGCGGCGUGCUUAACACAUGCAAGUCGAACGGAAAGGCCCUGCUUUUGUGGGGUGCUCGAGUGGCGAACGGGUGAGUAACACGUGAGUAACCUGCCCUUGACUUUGGGAUAACUUCAGGAAACUGGGGCUAAUACCGGAUAGGAGCUCCUGCUGCAUGGUGGGGGUUGGAAAGUUUCGGCGGUUGGGGAUGGACUCGCGGCUUAUCAGCUUGUUGGUGGGGUAGUGGCUUACCAAGGCUUUGACGGGUAGCCGGCCUGAGAGGGUGACCGGCCACAUUGGGACUGAGAUACGGCCCAGACUCCUACGGGAGGCAGCAGUGGGGAAUAUUGCACAAUGGGCGGAAGCCUGAUGCAGCAACGCCGCGUGCGGGAUGACGGCCUUCGGGUUGGAAACCGCUUUCGCCUGUGACGAAGCGUGGGUGACGGUAAUGGGUAAAGAAGCACCGGCGAACUACGU
RNAcentral lists this ribosomal RNA (467 nucleotides) under uncultured bacterium. RNAcentral describes it as "partial 16S ribosomal RNA". It matches the Rfam family "Bacterial small subunit ribosomal RNA", at positions 28 to 506 of the family's 1533-position model. The record is from RNAcentral.